GCCUUCGUGUUGUAAUGGUAGCACGCUGGGCCUGUAUUCCAGAGGUCCGUGGUUCGAUUCCCGGCGAAGGCG
Molecule: transfer RNA, 72 nt
Filed under: Stegodyphus dumicola
Lineage: Eukaryota; Metazoa; Arthropoda; Arachnida; Araneae; Eresidae
Description: tRNA-Thr
Rfam family: tRNA
About the family: Transfer RNA (tRNA) molecules are approximately 80 nucleotides in length. Their secondary structure includes four short double-helical elements and three loops (D, anti-codon, and T loops).
Source: RNAcentral